Molecule: ribosomal RNA, 253 nt
Filed under: uncultured bacterium
Lineage: Bacteria
Description: partial 16S ribosomal RNA
Rfam family: Bacterial small subunit ribosomal RNA
Source: RNAcentral
UACAGAGGGUGCAAGCGUUAAUCGGAAUUACUGGGCGUAAAGCGUGCGUAGGUGGUUACUUAAGUCAAAUGUGAAAGCCCUGGGCUCAACCUAGGAAUUGCAUCUGAUACUGGGUAACUAGAGUAUGGUAGAGGAUGGCGGAAUUUCCGGUGUAGCGGUGAAAUGCGUAGAUAUCGGAAGGAACACCAGUGGCGAAGGCGGCCGUCUGGGCCAAUACUGACACUGAGGCACGAAAGCGUGGGUAGCAAACAGG